This 508-nucleotide ribosomal RNA is filed under the name uncultured bacterium. Its description in RNAcentral is "bacterial SSU rRNA". It matches the Rfam family "Bacterial small subunit ribosomal RNA", at positions 21 to 518 of the family's 1533-position model. The record is from RNAcentral.
GGCUCAGGAUGAACGCUAGCUACAGGCUUAACACAUGCAAGUCGAGGGGCAGCAUUGGGAUAGCUUGCUAUUCAGAUGGCGACCGGCGCACGGGUGAGUAACGCGUAUCCAACCUUCCCUAUAGUAGAGAAUAGCCCGGCGAAAGUCGGAUUAAUGCUCUAUGUUGUGUUUUGAGGACAUCUGACGAACACCAAAGGUUCACCGCUAUAGGAUGGGGAUGCGUCUGAUUAGCUUGUUGGCGGGGUAACGGCCCACCAAGGCGACGAUCAGUAGGGGUUCUGAGAGGAAGGUCCCCCACAUUGGUACUGAGACACGGACCAAACUCCUACGGGAGGCAGCAGUGAGGAAUAUUGGUCAAUGGGCGAGAGCCUGAACCAGCCAAGUAGCGUGCAGGAAUGACUGCCCUAUGGGUUGUAAACUGCUUUUAUCAGGGAAUAAAGUGCGGCACGUGUGCCGUUUUGUAUGUACCUGAUGAAUAAGGACCGGCUAAUUCCGUGCCAGCCGCGGC